GUACCCGCUCCGCGAGUGGUGAGGACUAUUACUGGGCUUAAAGCGCCCGUAGCCGGCCGGGUGUGUCCUCCGUUAAAUCCACAGGCCUAACCUGUGGGCUGCGGGGGAUACUACCCGGCUUGGGGGUGGGAGAGGGCGGCGGUAUUCCCGGGGUAGGGGUAAAAUCCACUGAUCCCGGGAGGACCACCAGUGGCGAAGGCGGCCGCCCAGAACACGCCCGACGGUGAGGGGCGUAAGCUGGGGGAGCAAACGGGAUUAGAUACCCCAGUAGUCC
This 274-nucleotide ribosomal RNA is filed under the name uncultured bacterium. RNAcentral's name for it is "partial 16S ribosomal RNA". It matches the Rfam family "Archaeal small subunit ribosomal RNA", at positions 473 to 747 of the family's 1478-position model. The record is from RNAcentral.